CUCUGGGUAGCUCAGUUGGAAGAGCGUCAGACUGUAAAUCUGAAUGUUACUGGUUCGAUCCCGGUUCCGGAGA
This 73-nucleotide transfer RNA is filed under the name Sphaerobolus stellatus SS14. RNAcentral's name for it is "tRNA-Tyr (GTA) (tRNA-Tyr-GTA-4-1)". It matches the Rfam family "tRNA". From Rfam's summary of the family: Transfer RNA (tRNA) molecules are approximately 80 nucleotides in length. Their secondary structure includes four short double-helical elements and three loops (D, anti-codon, and T loops). Lineage: Eukaryota; Fungi; Basidiomycota; Agaricomycetes; Geastrales; Sphaerobolaceae. The record is from RNAcentral.